Molecule: long non-coding RNA, 861 nt
Filed under: Trifolium pratense (red clover)
Lineage: Eukaryota; Viridiplantae; Streptophyta; Magnoliopsida; Fabales; Fabaceae
Description: long non-coding RNA (TPRA_LNC008802)
Source: RNAcentral
GUACCACACAAGCUCUAAUAAAAUAAAAACUCUUGUAAUACAUUCAUUUCAUAAAUAAAAUCAAUCCGACUACAAGACAAAUCCGAAUUGAAUAGUGCAAACACAAAAACCACUACAAAAGAGAUAUUGUCAAACUUUGACCAUAGCUUCUAAUGAGAAAAUCAAUGACAAAUUUUAGUACAAAACACAAAAACCACUACAAAAGAUAGUCAAACUCUAGCCCUACUUUCUUCCGCGACCUGUCACUUGAUGAGAACCGCCCACUUCAUCGAAAAAGGAAGCCCUCAAACUACCUGUAUAUAUAAAUGUACAAGAAAUUAGGCAUUUGCUUGAUAAUACAUCAUUUGGCAGCAUAUAACUUGUCUUUCUCUCUUAGAAACCACACAAAUUCAACAUACGCCUCAAAGUAGCAUAAAAACAUUGCUAAAGUAUUGCAACUCAGGAUCUCGCGUCAUGUCACUAACGCGCUUAGGCAGCAUGCUCAUAAUUCAUCCUAGUUUCAAGAGGAAAAAUAGUAUGACCUUGGGGACAUUAUGAUUAUCCCAAUUACUCUAAAAUUUGACAAUGGAUGUGUAAAUUCAAGAAUACCAACUACAUUUUCUACCAAGCACAACAGUCAUGUCAGAAUAUAUUUGAAUAAUUAAAUAUUUAUAGGAUACAACUUACCAAUUAAUGAUCAACUAUUAUUUUUGCAGUCUCUUUGCAUCAUUGAUAACAUCUUCAACCAUAUGGGUAGCCCACUCCUCGUUCACCUCAUCUAGCUUCUCUUUAGAGUAUGUAGAAUGUCUAUGGCGAGAAAAAUACUUCAAAUAUAAAAGUAACACAAAAUUGAGUCAGAAUUGAAUUACACUACAUUUUAUA